Molecule: long non-coding RNA, 243 nt
Filed under: Elaeis guineensis (African oil palm)
Lineage: Eukaryota; Viridiplantae; Streptophyta; Magnoliopsida; Arecales; Arecaceae
Description: long non-coding RNA (EGUI_LNC009092)
Source: RNAcentral
UGGUGGAAUAAUGGGAGUGCCAUUGAAGGGUGGAUCUCACACUUCGAGAGUGAGUUCAAUAGGUGAGAUGGGAAGGAACCACCUGGGGAUUCGGUUCUACAUGCUACUGUUGCUCCGUCACUUAUUGAAGUCAUUGCACAGCACCGAUCGUACUUAGAUUUUGUGAAUUAGGGUGUUGAUCAAUGAUGGAUCUAUUAUAGUUGGAGGUUAUACGGUGAUGGAUCCACGGAUAGUGUUGCUCUG